GAAGUUUAAGUUAACUUAAACCCAGGGCCUUCAAAGCCCUAAAUAGGACCUACGUCCUAACUUCUG
RNAcentral lists this transfer RNA (66 nucleotides) under Pachydactylus serval. RNAcentral describes it as "tRNA-Trp". Lineage: Eukaryota; Metazoa; Chordata; Lepidosauria; Squamata; Gekkonidae. The record is from RNAcentral.